Molecule: ribosomal RNA, 600 nt
Filed under: Bacillus sp. I10
Lineage: Bacteria; Bacillati; Bacillota; Bacilli; Caryophanales; Bacillaceae
Description: bacterial SSU rRNA
Rfam family: Bacterial small subunit ribosomal RNA
Source: RNAcentral
AAAUCAGGAUUAGAUACCCUGGUAGUCCACGCCGUAAACGAUGAGUGCUAAGUGUUAGAGGGUUUCCGCCCUUUAGUGCUGAAGUUAACGCAUUAAGCACUCCGCCUGGGUAGUACGGCCGCAAGGCUGAAACUCAAAGGAAUUGACGGGGGCCCGCACAAGCGGUGGAGCAUGUGGUUUAAUUCGAAGCAACGCGAAGAACCUUACCAGGUCUUGACAUCCUCUGACAACCCUAGAGAUAGGGCUUCUCCUUCGGGAGCAGAGUGACAGGUGGUGCAUGGUUGUCGUCAGCUCGUGUCGUGAGAUGUUGGGUUAAGUCCCGCAACGAGCGCAACCCUUGAUCUUAGUUGCCAUCAUUAAUUUGGGCACUCUAAGGUGACUGCCGGUGACAAACCGGAGGAAGGUGGGGAUGACGUCAAAUCAUCAUGCCCCUUAUGACCUGGGCUACACACGUGCUACAAUGGACGGUACAAAGAGCUGCAAGACCGCGAGGUGGAGCUAAUCUCAUAAAACCGUUCUCAGUUCGGAUUGUAGGCUGCAACUCGCCUACAUGAAGCUGGAAUCNUAAAAGUAAUNGCGAUCAUNCCCCCCGGGGGGAAU